AAGCAGUGUCUCACUCUCUUUCUUCUUCCUUUUAGAUUUACUGAAAUGAGAUUGUUCAAGUAUAGCCACACAACGCACGUCCUUUCCAAAUAAAGUUUCCCUAAGAGCAUCCUUGCUCUUCAUGUCUCUGUAAACACAUACAAGCCCAUGAAGGAGUGAUUCAUAUUGAAGGGUAAGCAGUGGGGAAACGUCUGAGGUUGGAGUCUCAAGGCAGGAAACAAUGUCCUUUUUUAAAUUAGCCACAUCAUUAAGGGAAUUUUCACUUCAUACAUGGUAACAUACAAGUCAAGGUACUUAGCACAGACUUCUUUCCUGCUAAUAGAAACAUCAAGAGCUAAUACAGAUUUCUCACAGCCCUGCAAAGUUCAAAUCCCUGAAUUGACCAUUCUCACUCUCACUAACAGCAGCAACCAGAGGGACUAGAAAGAAAAGACAGCACUAAGUGCUGCUGUUUCAGGUCCAAGUUGAGGCCUGAUGUCGCUGGCGGCCGCGGUUGCUCCUGCGAGACGUCCCCGACGGUGUCCCCCUGCGCCUGGGCCUGUCAGCCCUUGCUGCUGUGCUGCUGCUCCUGUCCUGGCGACUCCUGCACUGGACAGGUCCAUUCGAGGCCCGACGCUGCAGGCGGGAGCGGCUGCGUCUGGGGGACGGCCCUGAUGGUGUCUCUGCUCGCCUGGGCCUGUCAGCCCCUGAUGCUGUCCUGUCGUCCCUGCCACGCCGACUCCUUGUCUGAACAGCUGGGCUCUGGGCCCGACGCUGCAGGCGGGAGCGGCUGCGUGUGGCAGAUGCCCACAAUGGUGUGUCCCUUCGCCUGGGCCUCUCGGCCCUUGAAAUUCUUCUGUGGCUCCUGUCACGGUGACUCCUUGACCGGACAGCAGGACUUAGGGCCCAACGCUGCAGGUGAAAGCGGCUGCGUCUGGGGAAUGUCUGCGACCAUGUCUCCCUUCGCCUGGGCCUGUCAGCUCUUGAAAUUCUCAUGUGGCUCCUGUCACUCCAACUCCUUGUCUGAACAGCUGGACUCUGGACCCGACGCUGUAGGCGGGAGCAGCUGCGUCUGGAGGACGCAUCUGGCCCUGAUGGUGUCUCCCUUCCACUGGGCCGCUCAGUCCCUGAAAUUGUCCUGUGGCUCUUGUCAUAUACAUCCCUUAUCAGAAAAGAUGGACUCUGGGCCUGACGCUGCCGGUGGGAGCGGCUGCGUCUGGGGAAUUGCCGUGAUGGUGUCUCCCUUUGCCUGCGCCUCUCGGCCCUUGGCUUUGCCCUGGUGCUCCUGUCACGGUGACUCCUUGACCGGACAGCUGGACUCUGGGCCUGCCGCUGCCGGCGGGAGCGGCUGCGUCUGGGGGACGGCCCUGAUGGUGUCUCUGUUUGCCUGGGCCUGUCAGCCCCUGAUGCUGUCCUGUCGUCCCUGUCAUGCCGACUCUUUGACCGGACAGCUGGACUCUGGGCCUGCCGCUGCCGGCGGGAGCGGCUGCGUCUGGGGGACGGCCCUGAUGGUGUCUCUGUUUGCCUGGGCCUGUCAGCCCCUGAUGCUGUCCUGUCGUCCCUGUCAUGCCGACUCUUUGACCGGACAGCUGGACUCUGGGCCUGCCGCUGCCGGCGGGAGCGGCUGCGUCUGGGGGACGGCCCUGAUGGUGUCUCUGUUUGCCUGGGCCUGUCAGCCCCUGAUGCUGUCCUGUCGUCCCUGUCAUGCCGACUCUUUGACCGGACAGCUGGACUCUGGGCCUGCCGCUGCCGGCGGGAGCGGCUGCGUCUGGGGGACGGCCCUGAUGGUGUCUCUGUUUGCCUGGGCCUGUCAGCCCCUGAUGCUGUCCUGUCGUCCCUGUCAUGCCGACUCUUUGACCGGACAGCUGGACUCUGGGCCUGCCGCUGCCGGCGGGAGCGGCUGCGUCUGGGGGACGGCCCUGAUGGUGUCUCUGUUUGCCUGGGCCUGUCAGCCCCUGAUGCUGUCCUGUCGUCCCUGUCAUGCCGACUCUUUGACCGGACAGCUGGACUCUGGGCCUGCCGCUGCCGGCGGGAGCGGCUGCGUCUGGGGGACGGCCCUGAUGGUGUCUCUGUUUGCCUGGGCCUGUCAGCCCCUGAUGCUGUCCUGUCGUCCCUGUCAUGCCGACUCUUUGACCGGACAGCUGGACUCUGGGCCUGCCGCUGCCGGCGGGAGCGGCUGCGUCUGGGGGACGGCCCUGAUGGUGUCUCUGUUUGCCUGGGCCUGUCAGCCCCUGAUGCUGUCCUGUCGUCCCUGUCAUGCCGACUCUUUGACCGGACAGCUGGACUCUGGGCCUGCCGCUGCCGGCGGGAGCGGCUGCGUCUGGGGGACGGCCCUGAUGGUGUCUCUGUUUGCCUGGGCCUGUCAGCCCCUGAUGCUGUCCUGUCGUCCCUGUCAUGCCGACUCUUUGACCGGACAGCUGGACUCUGGGCCUGCCGCUGCCGGCGGGAGCGGCUGCGUCUGGGGGACGGCCCUGAUGGUGUCUCUGUUUGCCUGGGCCUGUCAGCCCCUGAUGCUGUCCUGUCGUCCCUGUCAUGCCGACUCUUUGACCGGACAGCUGGACUCUGGGCCUGCCGCUGCCGGCGGGAGCGGCUGCGUCUGGGGGACGGCCCUGAUGGUGUCUCUGUUUGCCUGGGCCUGUCAGCCCCUGAUGCUGUCCUGUCGUCCCUGUCAUGCCGACUCUUUGACCGGACAGCUGGACUCUGGGCCUGCCGCUGCCGGCGGGAGCGGCUGCGUCUGGGGGACGGCCCUGAUGGUGUCUCUGUUUGCCUGGGCCUGUCAGCCCCUGAUGCUGUCCUGUCGUCCCUGUCAUGCCGACUCUUUGACCGGACAGCUGGACUCUGGGCCCGACGCUGCCGGCGGGAGCGGCUGCGUCUGGGGAAUUGCCGUGAUGGUGUCUCCCUUUGCCUGCGCCUCUCGGCCCUUGGUUUUGCCCUGGUGCUCCUGUCACGGUGACUCCUUGACUGGAUGGGUCGAUUUGGGGCCCGACCUUGCUGGCGAGAGCGCUUUCGCCUGCGCUCAGGCCCAGCACAUCUGCAAUGGACCCUGUUCUCAGGGUCUGUGGAGCUGCUGUACGUUGACCCUGAUGUGCUUGAGCUGCCGGUGUCCAGCGAGGAAGGUGGCAGCGACGUCUGCGCUGCUGCAUGUCGGUGGCUGCUGCGCCUGCUGGUCUCUGGAGACUGGGGAGCCAGACCCGAUGGCAGCAGGCUGUGGGAGCUGGAGCUGAUGGCCUCUGAUUCUGGGGAGCCAUGAGAAGGUUCCAGUCCUGACUGGCUGGUCAGGCUGGGGCCAUGGAGCUCCGGCCCAUCCCUGGAGGCU
This 3295-nucleotide long non-coding RNA is filed under the name Ficedula albicollis (Collared flycatcher). RNAcentral's name for it is "lncRNA (ENSFALG00000024335.1)". Lineage: Eukaryota; Metazoa; Chordata; Aves; Passeriformes; Muscicapidae. The record is from RNAcentral.